This is a non-coding RNA of Pelobates cultripes (western spadefoot toad), 252 nucleotides long. The record is from the annotation of a GenBank genome assembly. Lineage: Eukaryota; Metazoa; Chordata; Amphibia; Anura; Pelobatidae.
UUGUUAAGGUAACUAAUAAUGUAAACAAAGUUUUCAAAGAGGACUGUCCUUACAGCAGUUUACUAUCAAAAACAUCAAGAGUAUCUUGUCUCCCUACACUGGAGUAUAAUGAUUUAACACCUGUCAAUUUUUUUACUUUUAACAUUACAAACAUAAACAGACAACAAGAUAAAAACUCCCAAAACAAUAUCCAGGGGCCGGAGCAGUCUUCUCUUGGUAAAUCAAUAGAAGUUAAUGCGUUAUUUAUUAUAA